ACCACGAACGGGUGGAGCCUGUCGGUUUAAUUGGACUCAACGCCGGGCAGCUCACCGGAUAAGACAGCUGGAUGAUAGCCGGGCUGAAGACUCUGCUUGACUAGCUGAGAGGAGGUGCAUGGCCGUCGUCAGUUCGUACUGUGAAGCAUCCUGUUAAGUCAGGCAACGAGCGAGACCCACGCCAACAGUUGCCAGCAUGUCCUCCGGGAUGAUGGGGACACUGUUGGGACCGCCUCUGCUAAAGAGGAGGAAGGAAUGGGCAACGGUAGGUCAGCAUGCCCCGAAUUAUCCGGGCUACACGCGGGCUACAAUGGUCAGGACAAUGGGUAUCGACACCGAGAGGUGGAGGCAAUCUCCUAAACCUGUCCUUAGUUCGGAUUGUGGGCUGCAACUCGCCCACAUGAAGCUGGAAUCCGUAGUAAUCGCGUUUCAAAAUAGCGCGGUGAAUAUGUCCCUGCUCCUU
Molecule: ribosomal RNA, 463 nt
Filed under: uncultured Methanolinea sp.
Lineage: Archaea; Methanobacteriati; Methanobacteriota; Methanomicrobia; Methanomicrobiales; Methanoregulaceae
Description: bacterial SSU rRNA
Rfam family: Archaeal small subunit ribosomal RNA
Source: RNAcentral